RNAcentral lists this ribosomal RNA (497 nucleotides) under uncultured bacterium. Its description in RNAcentral is "partial 16S ribosomal RNA". It matches the Rfam family "Bacterial small subunit ribosomal RNA", at positions 28 to 507 of the family's 1533-position model. The record is from RNAcentral.
GAUGAACGCUGGCGGCGUGCCUAAUACAUGCAAGUCGAGCGAACGGACGAGAAGCUUGCUUCUCUGAUGUUAGCGGCGGACGGGUGAGUAACACGUGGAUAACCUACCUAUAAGACUGGGAUAACUUCGGGAAACCGGAGCUAAUACCGGAUAAUAUUUUGAACCGCAUGGUUCAAAAGUGAAAGACGGUCUUGCUGUCACUUAUAGAUGGAUCCGCGCUGCAUUAGCUAGUUGGUAAGGUAACGGCUUACCAAGGCAACGAUGCAUAGCCGACCUGAGAGGGUGAUCGGCCACACUGGAUCUGAGACACGGUCCAGACUCCUACGGGAGGCAGCAGUAGGGAAUCUUCCGCAAUGGGCGAAAGCCUGACGGAGCAACGCCGCGUGAGUGAUGAAGGUCUUCGGAUCGUAAAACUCUGUUAUUAGGGAAGAACAUAUGUGUAAGUAACUGUGCACAUCUUGACGGUACCUAAUCAGAAAGCCACGGCUAACUACGUG